Molecule: ribosomal RNA, 468 nt
Filed under: uncultured bacterium
Lineage: Bacteria
Description: partial 16S ribosomal RNA
Rfam family: Bacterial small subunit ribosomal RNA
Source: RNAcentral
GACGAACGCUGGCGGCGUGCUUAACACAUGCAAGUCGAACGGAAAGGCCCUGCUUUUGUGGGGUGCUCGAGUGGCGAACGGGUGAGUAACACGUGAGUAACCUGCCCUUGACUUUGGGAUAACUUCAGGAAACUGGGGCUAAUACCGGAUAGGAGCUCCUGCUGCAUGGUGGGGGUUGGAAAGUUUCGGCGGUUGGGGAUGGACUCGCGGCUUAUCAGCUUGUUGGUGGGGUAGUGGCUUACCAAGGCUUUGACGGGUAGCCGGCCUGAGAGGGUGACCGGCCACAUUGUGACUGAGAUACGGCCCAGACUCCUACGGGAGGCAGCAGUGGGGAAUAUUGCACAAUGGGCGGAAGCCUGAUGCAGCAACGCCGCGUGCGGGAUAACGGCCUUCGGGUUGUAAACCGCUUUCGCCUGUGACGAAGCGUGAGUGACGGUAAUGGGUAAAGAAGCACCGGCUAACUACGUG